UGCCAGCAGCCGCGGUAAUACGAAGGGGGCGAGUGUUGUUCGGAAUUACUGGGCGUAAAGGGCGCGUAGGCGGUCUUUUAAGUUAGGCGUGAAAUCCCCGGGCUCAACCCGGGAACUGCGUUUAAAACUGAGAGACUAGAAAACGGAAGAGGGUAGUGGAAUUCCCAGUGUAGAGGUGAAAUUCGUAGAUAUUGGGAAGAACACCAGUGGCGAAAGCGCUCUACUGGACCAUUACUGACACUCAGAGGCGAAAGCUAGGGUAGCAAAAGGGAUUAGAUA
This 279-nucleotide ribosomal RNA is filed under the name uncultured bacterium. RNAcentral describes it as "partial 16S ribosomal RNA". It matches the Rfam family "Bacterial small subunit ribosomal RNA", at positions 506 to 784 of the family's 1533-position model. The record is from RNAcentral.